AUGAGGCGAACCGGGGGAACUGAAACAUCUAAGUACCCCGAGGAAAAGAAAUCAACCGAGAUUCCCCCAGUAGCGGCGAGCGAACGGGGAGCAGCCCAGAGCCUGAAUCAGUGUGUGUGUUAGUGGAAGCGUCUGGAAAGGCGUGCGAUACAGGGUGACAGCCCCGUACACAAAAAUGCACAUAUUGUGAGCUCGAUGAGUAGGGCGGGACACGUGGUAUCCUGUCUGAAUAUGGGGGGACCAUCCUCCAAGGCUAAAUACUCCUGACUGACCGAUAGUGAACCAGUACCGUGAGGGAAAGGCGAAAAGAACCCCGGCGAGGGGAGUGAAAAAGAACCUGAAACCGUGUACGUACAAGCAGUGGGAGCACGCUUAGGCGUGUGACUGCGUACCUUUUGUAUAAUGGGUCAGCGACUUAUAUUCUGUAGCAAGGUUAACCGAAUAGGGGAGCCGAAGGGAAACCGAGUCUUAACUGGGCGUUAAGUUGCAGGGUAUAGACCCGAAACCCGGUGAUCUAGCCAUGGGCAGGUUGAAGGUUGGGUAACACUAACUGGAGGACCGAACCGACUAAUGUUGAAAAAUUAGCGGAUGACUUGUGGCUGGGGGUGAAAGGCCAAUCAAACCGGGAGAUAGCUGGUUCUCCCCGAAAGCUAUUUAGGUAGCGCCUCGUGAAUUCAUCUCCGGGGGUAGAGCACUGUUUCGGCAAGGGGGUCAUCCCGACUUACCAACCCGAUGCAAACUGCGAAUACCGGAGAAUGUUAUCACGGGAGACACACGGCGGGUGCUAACGUCCGUCGUGAAGAGGGAAACAACCCAGACCGCCAGCUAAGGUCCCAAAGUCAUGGUUAAGUGGGAAACGAUGUGGGAAGGCCCAGACAGCCAGGAUGUUGGCUUAGAAGCAGCCAUCAUUUAAAGAAAGCGUAAUAGCUCACUGGUCGAGUCGGCCUGCGCGGAAGAUGUAACGGGGCUAAACCAUGCACCGAAGCUGCGGCAGCGACACUAUGUGUUGUUGGGUAGGGGAGCGUUCUGUAAGCCUGUGAAGGUGUACUGUGAGGUAUGCUGGAGGUAUCAGAAGUGCGAAUGCUGACAUAAGUAACGAUAAAGCGGGUGAAAAGCCCGCUCGCCGGAAGACCAAGGGUUCCUGUCCAACGUUAAUCGGGGCAGGGUGAGUCGACCCCUAAGGCGAGGCCGAAAGGCGUAGUCGAUGGGAAACAGGUUAAUAUUCCUGUACUUGGUGUUACUGCGAAGGGGGGACGGAGAAGGCUAUGUUGGCCGGGCGACGGUUGUCCCGGUUUAAGCGUGUAGGCUGGUUUUCCAGGCAAAUCCGGAAAACUAAGGCUGAGGCGUGAUGACGAGGCACUACGGUGCUGAAGCAACAAAUGCCCUGCUUCCAGGAAAAGCCUCUAAGCAUCAGGUAACAUCAAAUCGUACCCCAAACCGACACAGGUGGUCAGGUAGAGAAUACCAAGGCGCUUGAGAGAACUCGGGUGAAGGAACUAGGCAAAAUGGUGCCGUAACUUCGGGAGAAGGCACGCUGAUAUGUAGGUGAAGUCCCUCGCGGAUGGAGCUGAAAUCAGUCGAAGAUACCAGCUGGCUGCAACUGUUUAUUAAAAACACAGCACUGUGCAAACACGAAAGUGGACGUAUACGGUGUGACGCCUGCCCGGUGCCGGAAGGUUAAUUGAUGGGGUCAGCGCAAGCGAAGCUCUUGAUCGAAGCCCCGGUAAACGGCGGCCGUAACUAUAACGGUCCUAAGGUAGCGAAAUUCCUUGUCGGGUAAGUUCCGACCUGCACGAAUGGCGUAAUGAUGGCCAGGCUGUCUCCACCCGAGACUCAGUGAAAUUGAACUCGCUGUGAAGAUGCAGUGUACCCGCGGCAAGACGGAAAGACCCCGUGAACCUUUACUAUAGCUUGACACUGAACAUUGAGCCUUGAUGUGUA
Molecule: ribosomal RNA, 1941 nt
Filed under: Escherichia coli
Lineage: Bacteria; Pseudomonadati; Pseudomonadota; Gammaproteobacteria; Enterobacterales; Enterobacteriaceae
Also listed under: 1 other name
Description: partial 23S ribosomal RNA
Rfam family: Bacterial large subunit ribosomal RNA
Source: RNAcentral